Molecule: long non-coding RNA, 465 nt
Organism: Gallus gallus (chicken)
Lineage: Eukaryota; Metazoa; Chordata; Aves; Galliformes; Phasianidae
Source: Ensembl
AGAAAACCCACAGCCCUCAAGCACUGUGGCCUCUGAAGCUCUCAGAGGGAUCUGUGCAGCCUCAUCACCUCAAUUACGAAAACACAAGUCGGGUACGUCGCUGCUUGUUUUUGCUUUGAUGGCCGCAUCUAUUAGGCAGUGAUUUCUGGCACUUCCUCCUUGCUGCUGUCACCCCUCACAAACCCCAUCGCUGGGGGUCUGGUGAAGUUGUGUGUCCCUGCAGCAGGAGCCACUCCUGCCCCGGCGCAGCAAACCGCAGCACAGCACUGCACAGCCUGCGCGUGGAUCCAGUUAAGUCUUGAAAGACUUUGUGGGUUAUGACAUUCCCCUAAAUGUGCUGAGCUUUCUUUAACCUUUCAUAAAACAUUGUGAUCUUUAUGGACUGUAUCAUAUUGUGCAGUAAUGUGCUUUAUUGUCCACAGAAUAAGCUUUUCUUAAAGAUAAUUGGAAAGCUGGAAAUGGCUG